GAUCUGGGCGUAAGCGUGCGUAGGCGGUUCGUUAGUCAGAUGUGAAAGCCCCGGUCUUAACCUGGGAACUGCAUUUGAAACUGGCGGACUAGAGUUGAGUAGAGGGGAGUGGAAUUUCAGGUGUAGCGGUGAAAUGCGUAGAUAUCUGAAGGAACACCAGUGGCGAAGGCGACUCCCUGGACUCAAACUGACGCUGAGGUACGAAAGCGUGGGUAGCAAACAGGAUUAGAUACCCUGGUAGUCCACGCUGUAAACGAUGUCAACUAGCCGUUGGUCCUAUUUACAGGAUUAGUGGCGCAGCUAACGCAUUAAGUUGACCGCCUGGGGAGUACGGCCGCAAGGUUAAAACUCAAAUGAAUUGACGGGGGCCCGCACAAGCGGUGGAGCAUGUGGUUUAAUUCGAUGCAACGCGAAGAACCUUACCUACCCUUGACAUCCAUAGAAUCA
RNAcentral lists this ribosomal RNA (447 nucleotides) under uncultured Gammaproteobacteria bacterium. Its description in RNAcentral is "bacterial SSU rRNA". It matches the Rfam family "Bacterial small subunit ribosomal RNA", at positions 547 to 998 of the family's 1533-position model. Lineage: Bacteria; Pseudomonadati; Pseudomonadota; Gammaproteobacteria. The record is from RNAcentral.